GCUGGGUGGGCACAAGCUAAUCAGCUGCCAGCACAGCCAGAAUAAAAGCAAGGAGAAGAACGAGGAAAAACCAGACAGGCUUAGCCUCAAGAUACAUCUUUCUCCCAUGCUGGGUGCUUCCUGCCUUCCAACAUUGGACUCCAAGUUCUUCAGCUUUAGGAUUUGGACUGGCCUCCUUCUUCCUCAGCUUGCAGACAGCCUAUUGUGGGACCUCACCUUGUGAUCGUCUCCUAGGCAGUGUUCUGUCGGGUAAUAGAGACCUUAAAUGCAUGGAUGAAGAGAUGCCUUGAACAAGACACAGAGGCACUAUGCGCUGGAGACCAGGACUGGGCUCUGAGGGCAGUACAGGGACAUCACCUGUGUCCUCAGAAGGCUCUAUCAGCUGUGUGGGCUGAGAUCACCCUCAAGGACUGCUUGACCCCAAGCUCAGCUGCACUUGGUUCAUUUUACCGACACUGCAGAGCCACAGG
Non-coding RNA from Saimiri boliviensis boliviensis (Bolivian squirrel monkey), 470 nucleotides. Lineage: Eukaryota; Metazoa; Chordata; Mammalia; Primates; Cebidae. The record is from RefSeq and is a predicted model, not a curated record.